CGAUAUCAGCGCUGCUUGUGGUAGAGGAAAAGGCGACAGGAGCUAACGUUAUGUGGCUAAACAAUGGAGGGAACUGCGGCGAGAGGAGAACCCGUGUGACCGCGGUCAGAGCAGAGAGAUGCAGGUGAAUAAUGGUGUCAGAGGAGAAGGAGCGAGAUGUGGCGUGGAAGGAGCUGCGCAGGAGGAAGAGGAUGGAGGAGGUGGAGGAGCUGACCACUGCGGGACACAACGCUCUGUAAUAGGGACAAACCCAGGAGGUGCUACCGUUUCAGAGGAUCAAAGGAGACUGAAGGCAGCCCGCCAGGUUUCCACGCAGCGGCUUAGGACUAAUUCUACAUCUGGACCUUAAGGACGGCUCUGAAGGACCAUGUGCACGGUGGGAAUGGAGCAUGGGACAGACCUUUGCCAAUCAAAGGAAACCGGUGGAGAGGGGUCACCUGCCAGCCCCAAGUAUUGGAGACAGUGAUGGCAGCCAAGGACUAAUGCCUCCUCUAUGAGGAGGUAAUCUACCUGCUGGACUCCCUGCUUCGGACAUUCCUACAGGGUGUGUAUGGCAUCACCACACCAUAUGAUGUGUUGACUGCAAGGGUGAAAGAACUCCUGGGACUUAUCAAAGCAAUUUUGAAAAAAACAAACAAAAAAAGGGGAUUGCCUGAUAUGUAAAUGAACUGUGGAAGUUGUUGAGAUUGUUUAAAUCACAUUGUGGCAUUGGAGUUUAUGCUGUGGCAAUAAGUACCAAAAACAGUCCAAAAGUCGGAUACAGGCAACAUGUUUGCAUUAACUUUUCCACAAGUUUAGGUUUUGACCAGAUUCUGGACUCUCUCGUAUUCAGACACUAAAACAAUAAAAUAUUUUUGCAGAAGUGCAUAAAAGCUCGAUCAAUAUGCACUUCCAGUGGUGCAGAAGUGACAUUCACCUCCGGGUUAAUGUAAUCUUUAUACAAUGUUUUACGUGAUAGCGUUUCAACCAAUGAGCAUCCAGAUUGACAAAUCAAGUAAUAAUACAUUUUAUUGUCACUGCAUACAUGUAAGAUGUUUGCUUUAAAUUGUUC
This 1051-nucleotide long non-coding RNA is filed under the name Neogobius melanostomus (round goby). Its description in RNAcentral is "lncRNA (ENSNMLG00000018655.1)". The record is from RNAcentral. Lineage: Eukaryota; Metazoa; Chordata; Actinopteri; Gobiiformes; Gobiidae.